AAUGACAGAAAAAUAGAAAAAAAAAGCAUAAAUUCAAAUAUCUCCAACUUUAGUGUGAGGAUCGACGGACAAACUUGGGACGUUUGUGGCUGGCUGCUCCGACUCCACCAAUGGCAAUGAAGCUGGCACAGCUUCAGUGGGAAUGGAUGCUGGCACAACCUCUAAUGUUGGAGUGCUUCGGAAUGCCCUUCAGUAGCCUCAGC
This 203-nucleotide long non-coding RNA is filed under the name Elaeis guineensis (African oil palm). RNAcentral describes it as "long non-coding RNA (EGUI_LNC030657)". The record is from RNAcentral. Lineage: Eukaryota; Viridiplantae; Streptophyta; Magnoliopsida; Arecales; Arecaceae.